This is a non-coding RNA of Nicotiana tabacum (common tobacco), 1700 nucleotides long. The record is from RefSeq and is a predicted model, not a curated record. NCBI's taxonomy places the organism in Eukaryota, Viridiplantae, Streptophyta, Magnoliopsida, Solanales, Solanaceae.
UUGGUAUCAGAGAAUUGUAUUUUCAUUUUCAACUGCCAGUUGAAUAAAACUUCCAGAAAAUUCUCUCUCUAAAACUCCUUCCUACGGUCUAUCAACCAAGCUCAAUUAUCACCUAACAAUAGUAGAAUUUAACAUGGUAUCAGAGCCGGAGUGAAUCGAUUGGAGCGAGAGUUUCGUUUUUGAUUUGGUAACUGAAAGGUGCCGGUGCAAUUUCUCAAUCGAUCUUCGUCUUCUGAGAUUCUCUUAUUUAGAGAAAUUUUUCCAAUGGUGAACUUAGAUAUCGAUAAUCCUCAACUUCCUUUGUACCUUCAACCGUCUGAUGCUCCAGGGAAUGUGAUGAUCUUAGUUCGAUUGACAGGAACUGAAAAUUAUUUCGUGUGGAGCAGAGCAAUGAAGAUUUCAUUGUGAGCCAAGCGCAAAUUAGGAUUUAUCAAUGGUACCUCCACCAAUGCACAAUUUACUGCUGAUUUGGCCAAGGAAUGGGAACAUGUUAAUACCACUGUUCUCACUAGGAUUUGGAACACCGUAUCGGCAAAAUAGUUCAAUGGGAUAAUUUAUGCUAGUAACGCUCAUGAGGUGUGGACAGAUCUUCAGGAUCGUUUCGACAAAAUCAAUGGAUCGAGAAUUCGCAAUCUUCAUCGAGAAAUAGCCACAAUAUCUCAAGGUAAUUCUAAUGUUGCUGCCUAUCAUUCGAGACUCAAACUGCUAUGGGAUAAGUAUAAUACUCUUAUUUCUUCUCUUCCUAUAACACCUGAGACGAGAGAUUUCAUAAAAUAUUUAGAACAACAGAAGUUGUUUCGAUUAUUAAUGGGCCUAAAUGAAAGCUGCAACGCUAUAAGUAGUCAAAUUCUACUCAUGUCUCCAUCACCUAGUGUGAGUCGUGCCUAUGCUAUGCUAAUACAUGAAGAGAGUCGGGGGAAAGUUUGUAUAUCUGGAACAUCCAUGAAUGAAAUAAAUGAGUCUGCUGCAUUGAUGAGUUCUAGGGAUAAUUCACAGAAAUUCAAGAGGUACAACAAUCUGUAUUGUGAGUACUGUAAAAAUAAAGGUCACACAGGAUGUUUGCUAUAAGCUGGUAGGUUGUCCACCUGGUUAUAAAGGAAUGAAAAAGCAGGAAUAUCGACUAGCAAAUGCAACCAUGAAUGAUAACAUCUCUGUGAAGGAUGAUGCAGCUCGAGCUACCACAAAUGUCAAUAAUAGUGGACCAAAUCAGGUUAUGCACAACUACUUCAUGGAUGAGCAAUACAAUAAGAUAUUAAGAUUGUUGAAUCAAGACAAAGAAGAGGAUUUUGCAUAUAUCAGGUAAUGCAGAUUCACAGUUGUUGGCAGGAUCUAUACACUGGGAGAAUGAAUUGGAUUGGUAAGAAAAAAGGUGGUCUCUAUCUCUUACUCCCAGAUGGUUUAGAUAGGAACAAAAUCACACAGCAAAUCAACAGUUGUUUGGCAAAGGAUAUAGUUGAAGACAGUCAUGUACGGCACAGUAGACUUGAGCAUAUGCCAGCUAGAGUCGUGAAGCAGAUAGCUUCCUUGAAAGACAAGAUAUCUACUAAUUGCAAUUUCAAUAAUUGUACUAUUUGUCCUUUAGCAAGACAACUAGGAGACCCCACUUAACAAUAGUAGAGCAGAAUCUAUUUUUCAAUUAGUGCAUGUGGAUAUUUGGGGGCCAUAUCAAGUGCCUACUAAUAAUAGACACAGAUAUUUCC